UAGAGAGGGCAGUUAGCUGCUGGCAAGGGAAACAGCAACAUCAGCUGACUGAGAUUCUGCUCAGGGAUCUGGAGGUGUGGCAGGUGAGUGGAGCAAGCAGACUGUCCAGAGACAGAGGAAGACUGGAGGUGGAGACCUGGCUGGGAAGAUCAAACAACCAAUUGAUAGUCCUUCAACAUCCCAGGAGGCAUUGCUCCCAGGCCAGGUGGAUUAGCUGUCCUCCUGGACUCUGAAGCUGCCUCCCAUCCCAUCCCUUACCACAGUGACAACCUGGACAGAGGAGCUGCAGCUGAAAAUCAUCCAGGCAACCACCUGGAAGCACCUUACUGUAGCUUUUCAAAAUGCUCACUGGAAGACGAGACGACUCCCUCCUCCCCUCAAGAACUUAUCCAGUUGGGUCACCUGGUUGACCAGCCUGAACCAAAAAGAAAGCAAGUGGGAGAAAAGGGUCUACCUGAAAUGAUCCAAACUAGGGGCAGAGAGAGGGGAAUUUCCUCACACCCUAAUCCCAGGGACCUUGGCCUACAGGUCAGCAUAUGAUGUAGGCUCUCUCAGAGUUCAGGAUACCAAGGCUUCCAGGAUUUCCAGGUCUUCAGACACCAUCAAGUGCACUGCCCCAUGUUUCAGGCCUCCAUCUUCUGUGAGCUAUGUGGUCCCCUUUAUCUGCUGGGAUAAGAAGUCUCAGGGGCAUCUUAGAAGUCCUUGGAAACAUUUUGAAAAGGUUGAAGUGUGGUUCCCAGUGAACUUCUAUAAUUUCAUUUUUUUUCCUGAGGGUAUUUUUUUUUCUUUUAAGUUUUAGAAUUUCCAAAGAAAUAGGGAGUCUUUAUUUCUAGUCAACUGUUGUGCACAGUAAUUAAGGCAAUCUAGCCAAUAACUAAGGUUGUUCAUCCAUAGAACUAAAUGAUGGGGAGGUGCAUUGUGAAAAAAAUUAGAAUGUGAUCAUGUAAUUACCAGCUGCUAACAAAUGUAUAUUCACAAGGGAGCUGAGCUAUCGUUCUGAAUGCAACCUUAAAUCUGAUGUCUGGAUGCUGCCAUGCAGUCAGAUGAACACAGACAUUUGGUUUCCCAGGGACAAGUAACAGCAGCACAUGUUGUGCCACAGCUACUUCUCCCCGGGGAAUGCCCAUGCCAUGUAUACUUUGGCACGCAGCAAGGUACCCUGGGGGAGGUAGGGACUGUGCUGGCCCCAGCAGCCUUACCUGGGGUCUCAUCAGGGCUGCAGCUGUGUUGAUCAUGCCUGGCAGAGCGGCCUAGCAGCUGCAGUGAGGCUUCAGGUGGUCUGGCUCCACUUCUCAGUGGCACAUGCUGCCCAUGUGUGAACUACUUCAAUUUUUUUUCCUGUGGUUCUUUUUGUUUGUUUGUUUGUUUGAGGGUUUUUUGACCCUUGGAUUUGCAGGGGUAAAAAAACCUGGACCAAUGCACGCAUGGGCAGUGUGUCCUCAGUGCGAAGAACACCUGACUAUGUGGUGCCACAUACCACAUAGCCACUCUCAUCUGGACACCCACCAUGAGUUUAUGUACUUAAUUUUUUUUCCCAUUCACCUUGGAAGAAGCAGUUCUGAAGAAUGGGAAUGGGUGAAUUUAAUAUAUUCUGGACAAUUCAAAAGCAAAGGGAUAUUUUGUUUUGUAGAAGCACAGUGAAAGCACUAGGCAAACUUAACUUUCCAAACAGUGAAGUCAUUUUAUCUGACUCCUUUUCUGAAAUUUAUCUGGGAUUUCUAACACUAGGAUGGAAAUGUGGCAAGAUUUUCUACCAGGAUUUUAAUACUUCUUACCCAGUCUCAGUUGUAUAAAAAACACAAGAGCAUACUAAAAUGAAACAUUAUAAUGAUGUACAUUUCUGGAGGUUUUGUUGAGAGUUCAUAUUUGAGGCUUCAUAAUCGCAUGUUCUUGCAUUCUUUUACCUAAAAUUUGUCAAAACUGAUCUGAAUCUUUUAGGUCUUGGCGUCUUCCUAUAACUCUCAUGAGAACAUGCCUGUAAACUGCUUCUGUAUAUCGAUGGAAAACAAUAUAUGGUGACUUGUUCUACUUAGAACAUCAUCUCUAACUUAAUAUUGUAUUCAAUAUGCCUAUUGUUAAAAGCAGUAGAGAUUAUAUAAUAUUUUCUACUACUGGUGAAACGGAACUGAAGGGCAAUAGCACAAGGAUGAAAAUAGUGAAAAUAGGAAGAAUGAAAUAGCGCAAGGAAUAAUAAUGGAAGUUUGAAUAUUAUGAAGAAGGAUGGCAAAAGCUGAAAUUUUCUUGGAAGGUAUUGAAGGUGGGAUAACUGGAAUGGUACUUGAAGCAAUUAAUAGCUGCACCUGGGAUUGUCUGUGUAAUGCACACUUCUUAAAUGUGGUUCUCUGUUCCCUUGGAGUCUAUGUAUUUGCAUUAUUAACACUUAUAGGCAGUUAAUAUUAUUAAGUUUUAUAACAAAAACUGGAAAUAGUUAAGUUUUGCAUGCUUCCUAGUUUCUCUCCAAUUACUUAUUUAUAUCUAGCUAUUGAUAGCCUACUCCAUAUUUUCAUUAUACCCACGUAAAUCAAUGACAGUUUGUUAAUGAGGGUUACUUAUAAGUAGAACAAACCUAGAGUAUAAAAUGUCCAUAUUCAGUCAAUCUUUUUUUUGUGAUAUCUAGAGAUUUUCCAUGAAAAUCUGCAUGGCUUUCUUGCCUAGCAAAAUUUGAGAUGACAGAUAUUUCUCAGGAUAAAGUUAGCAUGGAAGUUAUGCCAUGCCUGGAUCUUAUCUUGCCCUUUCCGAGUAAACCAGCUCCCAAAUUAACUACUGGCACAUGCUGCAUUGUCAGGCUUAUAUUUGGAAAGCAAACCCUUCUACAGUUUUCUCCUCCCUGACUCAUUCUAUUUCUCUCGUCCUCCCCUUCCUCCUCCCCCUCCAAAAUGUCCUUCCUAUAUUACAGAAAUAUUUAAUGCCUUUUAAAUCUUGAAAAUUAUUUAAUUUAUUGAUUGUUCAUAGUCUUAUAUACGUAAAUAACACAAGGUUGUUCCUUUACUCUCAUAAAAAUAUAAAUAUAAUAUUUACAAUUUUAAAACAUUUUCCUAGUUACUCUGCAUCAAGGAUAGCUGUAGAAUUUAAAGUGUAGGAUAUUUUGUUGAGACAUUUCUGAGUUAUGACUUGUGAGUACAAAAAGGUUCCAAGCCUGCAAGUUCAAGUGACCCGAACAGCUGCAUAGAAACCUACUGACUUGAGCAAGGCUUUGCAUAAGUUCAGGGAUCCAGCUGGAAAACUCUAAGUCUACAUCAUAAAAUGCUGACAGGGCAGGAGGUUGGGGGAUUGUUUCAUCAUAAAACCCUAACUCAGUAGUGGCUAAAUAUAUUUUCAUUCAACAAUCCAAAAAGCAAAACAUCAAACAACCUUCAAAAAACCUACAGUUUUUCAGGCUGAUACUAAUAGAGAAAGUAUCAAUGCCAGAUUCACAAGCUAGUAAUUCUUUGAAGAAAUAUUAGUGGGGGAAAAUGGUAUGUCCUACCAUAAUUAUAAAUGUUCCUAGUAAGCAAGUAUUGGAGCACAUCCCAUUUUCAAAAAUAAUUUAAUCCAUAAUAUUCCUUUCAUCGCAGAGCACAAACAAUUGGUAUAUAAAUACUUAUGGGGAAAAGUCCAAAUAUAAAUAUUUGAAGUCUUUGAAAGAAUCCCAAAAUUAAAGUAAUGUUAAAGCAUGUUCUGAGACACCGUUAAUGUUUACAAGUUUCUCCCUUCCUGUUUCUUUUAAAGAAAUGGAUACAUUUUACUAUCCAGCAGAAUCACAAAAGAUUAGUUGUCUAUUAACAAUUAAAACGUGCAGCAGACCUGAGUUGUGCUUCAGUGUUCUAAGAUGCAGUGAAAACAUUCCACUAAAAGUCUUUAAUCCUAGAUAGGGUGCUAACAUGUAAUUCACAAUAAACAAAGCAAAAACAAAACUGAUAAGCUAUUAUUUUAAAUUAUAUUUGCUAAAUACUGUACGAAAAUAAACUUUGCAGCUUCUAUUUAAGUAGCCAAAUUCUGCUCUCAGUUGCAAAACAGUAAAUCUGUACUAACUUUGCUAACUUUAAUGGAAUUAAUUCGGGGGUGGGGGGGUGCAACAGAAAACUGAAAACAUUGUUCGACUUGCUGCUAUCAUGAAUUUUGUCUAUUUAUCCUAUCUAAAAAAGUUUACAAAAAUAAAGUGCUACUUAGGAAAAAAUUUUUUGAAAAUGAACAAGGAAUAUAUAAAGCUUUUUAAGAGCCAGGACCAAAAUAAAAACUGGGGUGUAACUUCAGUAUUUAAUGUACACAAUACUAUAUUGAUUUAUACCAGCCAGGGAUCUGACCCCUGUAAUCCAUGUAGAUGCUUGCAACUGAAACAAAUCCAUUUGAAAUGUAUGGAAGUCUUUUCAAUAGGAUUUGGUCAGGCCACUUACUGAAGAACAAGAACAAUUCCAUUACAAAAUGCACUCUCUUCAUUUAUUUUUACAAUAGUAGUUUAGUUUUAUUUCUAGAUCAUAAAACUACUUGCAAAUAUAGAAUCCGCAGUAUAUGUGCAGAAAAUAAGAGCAUCUUAGUAAUGUGAUUACUUUCUACAGCAAUUUGGUUUCAUCUUUGCUAAAAAGUAAGAAAAUGCUACUUUUCAUACACUAUUCAGAUUAAUAGUUUCCUAAGUUAUUUUUUGGAUAGUACUGAUUUAGCAGAUAUGCAUAUACUGUAGAUAAAAGUGACAAAGUCACAAAAAGAACAAGAAAAAAAAAAUUGGCCUAAAGUUUGGAAGUCAUCUAGUCAAUUGGCAAAAAAUCAAUACAAGGCUCAUUCUUCUAUUGGAAGGGAGGAAAAAGGGGAGAGAAGAAACAAGCAAGCAUUAGGAUUUUCUUAAAAGAAGCCCGGAUUUUCUAAGCAUGUGAUGCAUCUGAAAAAUACAAGUUGUUGAAACAAGUCCAGUCCAGUCAACUGUGUGUCUAAUCAACUGCACAUUGUCACACUGUGCAUAGUUAAUGUAGUUCAAUAGAUAAGAAACAGAGCACAUUAUUUAUUGUUUCUUAUUGCUUGUUUAUAAUUGAUUUAUGUACAUUAAAAUGUACCA
This is a long non-coding RNA of Alligator mississippiensis (American alligator), 5026 nucleotides long. RefSeq lists it as uncharacterized. The transcript has 4 exons. NCBI's taxonomy places the organism in Eukaryota, Metazoa, Chordata, Crocodylia, Alligatoridae. The record is from RefSeq and is a predicted model, not a curated record.